UUCACUUAUUUUAUUAGCUUAUUUUUCUUUAAGAACUUUUAUUUCCUACUUGUUUUAUCACUGUUUUUUUUUAAGCUAAAAAUUAACCCAGCAAAUUACACCAAUACGUAAGUAUACAGAUAGCACGUAAAGAUUAAAAGAGUGACUAUAGACUUUUAAUACAGCAGAGAGGUAAGAAUGAUAAUAUUUCUUAUUAAAUUGAAGAGGUAAUAUUUAAUAUAUCCUUCAAAAUUUUAAAAUUAUCUUAUUAUUU
This 253-nucleotide long non-coding RNA is filed under the name Ananas comosus (pineapple). RNAcentral describes it as "long non-coding RNA (ACOM_LNC018511)". The record is from RNAcentral. Lineage: Eukaryota; Viridiplantae; Streptophyta; Magnoliopsida; Poales; Bromeliaceae.